Molecule: long non-coding RNA, 217 nt
Filed under: Prunus persica (peach)
Lineage: Eukaryota; Viridiplantae; Streptophyta; Magnoliopsida; Rosales; Rosaceae
Description: long non-coding RNA (PPER_LNC003429)
Source: RNAcentral
CGCUAGAAGGUCCAAUAUAUUUAGGACACAUGUCCCGAGGGUAUUGGUGUCAAUCGGACGGUCGGAUUAAUCACGAUCGUGUAAUCGCAUAAUUUCUAAAUCCUAGCCCUAGGGUUCGCGAUUUCGAAGUAUCCGGGACUCCGAUUCGCAAUCCGUCGACUCCUACACGAUCCUGAAUCAUGUAGACUGACAUAUCCAAAAUUCAGUGUGAUCCAAC